CUUGACUCUAGAGAUAGAGCCUUCCCCUUCGGGGGACAAAGUGACAGGUGGUGCAUGGUUGUCGUCAGCUCGUGUCGUGAGAUGUUGGGUUAAGUCCCGCAACGAGCGCAACCCUUAAGCUUAGUUGCCAGCAUUAAGUUGGGCACUCUAAGUUGACUGCCGGUGACAAACCGGAGGAAGGUGGGGAUGACGUCAAAUCAUCAUGCCCCUUAUGAUUUGGGCUACACACGUGCUACAAUGGACGGUACAAAGGGCAGCGAACCCGCGAGGUCAAGCAAAUCCCAUAAAGCCGUUCUCAGUUCGGAUUGUAGUCUGCAACUCGACUACAUGAAGCUGGAAUCGCUAGUAAUCGUAGAUCAGCAUGCUACGGUGAAUACGUUCCCGGGUCUUGUACACACCGAACA
RNAcentral lists this ribosomal RNA (404 nucleotides) under Staphylococcus sp. DHM4. RNAcentral's name for it is "bacterial SSU rRNA". It matches the Rfam family "Bacterial small subunit ribosomal RNA", at positions 993 to 1396 of the family's 1533-position model. Lineage: Bacteria; Bacillati; Bacillota; Bacilli; Caryophanales; Staphylococcaceae. The record is from RNAcentral.